RNAcentral lists this ribosomal RNA (465 nucleotides) under uncultured Klebsiella sp. RNAcentral's name for it is "bacterial SSU rRNA". It matches the Rfam family "Bacterial small subunit ribosomal RNA", at positions 338 to 795 of the family's 1533-position model. The record is from RNAcentral. Lineage: Bacteria; Pseudomonadati; Pseudomonadota; Gammaproteobacteria; Enterobacterales; Enterobacteriaceae.
CCUACGGGUGGCUGCAGUGGGGAAUAUUGCACAAUGGGCGCAAGCCUGAUGCAGCCAUGCCGCGUGUGUGAAGAAGGCCUUCGGGUUGUAAAGCACUUUCAGCGGGGAGGAAGGCGGUGAGGUUAAUAACCUUGUCGAUUGACGUUACCCGCAGAAGAAGCACCGGCUAACUCCGUGCCAGCAGCCGCGGUAAUACGGAGGGUGCAAGCGUUAAUCGGAAUUACUGGGCGUAAAGCGCACGCAGGCGGUCUGUCAAGUCGGAUGUGAAAUCCCCGGGCUCAACCUGGGAACUGCAUUCGAAACUGGCAGGCUAGAGUCGUGUAGAGGGGGGUAGAAUUCCAGGUGUAGCGGUGAAAUGCGUAGAGAUCUGGAGGAAUACCGGUGGCGAAGGCGGCCCCCUGGACAAAGACUGACGCUCAGGUGCGAAAGCGUGGGGGGCAAACAGGAUUAGAUACCCUUGUAGUC